This 497-nucleotide ribosomal RNA is filed under the name uncultured bacterium. RNAcentral describes it as "partial 16S ribosomal RNA". It matches the Rfam family "Bacterial small subunit ribosomal RNA", at positions 28 to 507 of the family's 1533-position model. The record is from RNAcentral.
GAUGAACGCUGGCGGCGUGCCUAAUACAUGCAAGUCGAACGAACGGACGCGGAUCUUGCUUCUCUGAUGUUUGCGGCGGACGGGUGAAUAACACGUGUAUAACCUACCUAUCAGUCUGGGAUCACUUCGGAAAACCGGCGCUAAUACCGGAUGAUCUUUUGCUCCGUGUUGUUCAAUGGUAAAAGACGGUCUUUCUGUCACUUAUCGAUGGAUCCGCGCUGCAUUAGCUAGUUGGUAAGGUAACGGCGUACCAAGGCAACGAUGCCUAGCAGACAGGACAGGGUGAUCGGCCACACUGGAAGGGAGACACGGCACAGAGGGCUAGGGGAGGGAGCAGUAGGGAAUCUGGAGCAAUGGGCGAAAGACUGACGGAGAAACGCCGAGUGAGUGAUGAAGGACGUCGGAUCGGAAAACUCUGUUAUUAGGGAAGAACAUAUGUGUAAGUAACUGUGCACAUCUUGACGGUACAUAAUCAGAAAGCCACGGCUAAAUAAGUG